Molecule: ribosomal RNA, 618 nt
Filed under: uncultured bacterium
Lineage: Bacteria
Description: bacterial SSU rRNA
Rfam family: Bacterial small subunit ribosomal RNA
Source: RNAcentral
ACUCCUACGGGAGGCAGCAGUGGGGAAUAUUGGACAAUGGGCGCAAGCCUGAUCCAGCCAUACCGCGUGGGUGAAGAAGGCCUUCGGGUUGUAAAGCCCUUUUGUUGGGAAAGAAAUCCAGCUGGCUAAUACCCGGUUGGGAUGACGGUACCCAAAGAAUAAGCACCGGCUAACUUCGUGCCAGCAGCCGCGGUAAUACGAAGGGUGCAAGCGUUACUCGGAAUUACUGGGCGUAAAGCGUGCGUAGGUGGUCGUUUAAGUCCGUUGUGAAAGCCCUGGGCUCAACCUGGGAACUGCAGUGGAUACUGGACGACUAGAGUGUGGUAGAGGGUAGCGGAAUUCCUGGUGUAGCAGUGAAAUGCGUAGAGAUCAGGAGGAACAUCCAUGGCGAAGGCAGCUACCUGGACCAACACUGACACUGAGGCACGAAAGCGUGGGGAGCAAACAGGAUUAGAUACCCUGGUAGUCCACGCCCUAAACGAUGCGAACUGGAUGUUGGGUGCAAUCUGGCACGCAGUAUCGAAGCUAACGCGUUAAGUUCGCCGCCUGGGGAGUACGGUCGCAAGACUGAAACUCAAAGGAACUGACGGGGGCCCCCACAAGCGGUGGAGCAUGUGG